CCUGUUCCUAAACAAAUGCAGCCAGGCAAACAGAGAGCCUGGCUGCUUAAUGCAAACAGCGCUGCUCUGGUAUUGUAGGGGGCAGUGGAGGAGCAACAGAGGAGCUGCAGAUAUUCAAAGAUGCUACUGCCUGAGAACUUCAGUUUAAAAGAAGCAUUAAGGAACCUACAAAUUAACUCAUGUGCCAACAAGUAUAGAAUUCCCAGUCUUCUUCCUCUGGAGGUUGAGUGCAACACUGAUGCUGAGUCUAGCUGCCAAAAGGAGAAAUGAUUGGAAACACAGGAUGCCUGCAUCUGAAAGCUAUUGUUCCUCAUCAGAAUUUUUCUGAAGGUACUGAACUCCAAGGAAUCCAGCAUUUCUUCAUUAUAAGAAGCUGACAAAGUUGAAAACAGACAAAAACUAUCAACAUUAUAUAGUCAAGGGACAGCUCUAAAAUCUGCUUUCAGGAUCAUUAGUAAUGAGAGAAAAAGGCCUUUGAAAAUUCACAGAGUGCUUUUCCUUUUACC
Molecule: long non-coding RNA, 506 nt
Organism: Hemicordylus capensis (graceful crag lizard)
Lineage: Eukaryota; Metazoa; Chordata; Lepidosauria; Squamata; Cordylidae
Exons: 6
Source: RefSeq, a predicted model, not a curated record